Molecule: ribosomal RNA, 205 nt
Filed under: uncultured Geobacter sp.
Lineage: Bacteria; Pseudomonadati; Thermodesulfobacteriota; Desulfuromonadia; Geobacterales; Geobacteraceae
Description: partial 16S ribosomal RNA
Rfam family: Bacterial small subunit ribosomal RNA
Source: RNAcentral
AUGACGUCAAGUCCUCAUGGCCCUUAUGACCAGGGCUACACACGUGCUACAAUGGCCGGUACAAAGAGUUGCGAUACCGCGAGGUGGAGCUAAUCUCAUAAAGCCGGUCUCAGUUCGGAUUGGAGUCUGCCAACUCGACUCCAUGAAGUUGGAAUCGCUAGUAAUCGCGGAUCAGCACGCCGCGGUGAAUACGUUCCCGGGCCUU